UUCCAUAUAUCUCAUUAUCUAUCUUCUUAAAGGUGUUGUUUCUUUGAUGAUUCCAUCAAUAUCAUUGUUUAUUUAGUUGUUAAUCCAACACUAUGUUAAUGUAAAAUAAAUUGAAUGCUUCUAGGUUUGGGUAAAGUGGGGAUAGAGACGCCAGUUCAUUCCCUAGAACAAGCUAGGUGCAAGAUUUACACUUUAUUAUUCCUGACUAUUUCUUUUGAGUGGAGCAGUGAUACACACCCGCUUUCUUAUCAGCAGGCUAAGGGAAGGGGACUUGCAUUUUGAAAGGUGAUCUGUCUGAACGAGCAGUUAUUGAUGGAAAAAUGUCAC
Long non-coding RNA from Arachis stenosperma, 327 nucleotides. RefSeq lists it as uncharacterized. Lineage: Eukaryota; Viridiplantae; Streptophyta; Magnoliopsida; Fabales; Fabaceae. The transcript is spliced from 3 exons. The record is from RefSeq and is a predicted model, not a curated record.